UGGGGAAUAUUGCACAAUGGGCGCAAGCCUGAUGCAGCCAUGCCGCGUGUGUGAAGAAGGCCUCGGGUUGUAAAGCACUUUCAGCGAGGAGGAAGGUGGUGAGCUUAAUACGCUCAUCAAUUGACGUUACUCGCAGAAGAAGCACCGGCUAACUCCGUGCCAGCAGCCGCGGUAAUACGGAGGGUGCAAGCGUUAAUCGGAAUUACUGGGCGUAAAGCGCACGCAGGCGGUUUGUUAAGUCAGAUGUGAAAUCCCCGGGCUCAACCUGGGAACUGCAUUUGAAACUGGCAAGCUAGAGUCUCGUAGAGGGGGGUAGAAUUCCAGGUGUAGCGGUGAAAUGCGUAGAGAUCUGGAGGAAUACCGGUGGCGAAGGCGGCCCCCUGGACGAAGACUGACGCUCAGGUGCGAAAGCGUGGGGCAGCAAACAGGAUUAGAUACCCUGGUAGUCCACGCUGUAAACGAUGUCGAUUUUGGAGGUUGUGCCCUUGAGGCGUGGCUUCCGGAGCUAACGCGUUAAAUCG
Molecule: ribosomal RNA, 521 nt
Filed under: uncultured bacterium
Lineage: Bacteria
Description: partial 16S ribosomal RNA
Rfam family: Bacterial small subunit ribosomal RNA
Source: RNAcentral